GUGCUUAACACAUGCAAGUCGAACGGAAAGGCCCCGCUUGCGGGGUACUCGAGUGGCGAACGGGUGAGUAACACGUGGGUGAUCUACCCUGCACUUCGGGAUAAGCCUGGGAAACUGGGUCUAAUACCGGAUAGGACCCCUCUUUAGUGUGGGGGGUGGAAAGUUUUUUCGGUGUGGGAUGAGCCCGCGGCCUAUCAGCUUGUUGGUGGGGUAAUGGCCUACCAAGGCGUCGACGGGUAGCCGGCCUGAGAGGGUGGACGGCCACAUUGGGACUGAGAUACGGCCCAGACUCCUACGGGAGGCAGCAGUGGGGAAUAUUGCACAAUGGGCGGAAGCCUGAUGCAGCGACGCCGCGUGGGGGAUGACGGCCUUCGGGUUGUAAACCUCUUUCGCUAGGGACGAAGCUUUUGUGACGGUACCUAGAUAAGAAGCACCGGCUAACUACGUGCCAGCAGCCGCGGUAAUACGUAGGGUGCGAGCGUUGUCCGGAAUUACUGGGCGUAAAGAGCUCGUAGGUGGUUUGUCGCGUCGUCUGUGAAAUUCCGGGGCUUAACCUCGGGCGUGCAGGCGAUACGGGCAAUACUUGAGUGCUGUAGGGGAGACUGGAAUUCCUGGUGUAGCGGUGGAAUGCGCAGAUAUCAGGAGGAACACCGAUGGCGAAGGCAGGUCUCUGGGCAGUAACUGACGCUGAGGAGCGAAAGCAUGGGUAGCGAACAGGAUUAGAUACCCUGGUAGUCCAUGCCGUAAACGGUGGGCGCUAGGUGUAGGGGUCUUCCACGACUUCUGUGCCGUAGCUAACGCAUUAAGCGCCCCGCCUGGGGAGUACGGCCGCAAGGCUAAAACUCAAAGGAAUUGACGG
Molecule: ribosomal RNA, 859 nt
Filed under: uncultured Corynebacterium sp.
Lineage: Bacteria; Bacillati; Actinomycetota; Actinomycetes; Mycobacteriales; Corynebacteriaceae
Description: bacterial SSU rRNA
Rfam family: Bacterial small subunit ribosomal RNA
Source: RNAcentral